AACGCAAGUUGCGGUUCUCUUUCGGGAACCAUGUUUGGCUGAGGGUUGUUUUCACAUACAGUGAGGCGUGUCUUUUAAGACUCCCUUCAAGCACCGCAGUGUCACAGCUGCCGUACACACACAAGACUGGUCACCAGCCGGCCUUGUUCUCGGACAAGGAGGGUUGCGGCAUGUCGGUUGCAUGUACAUUUACCAGCAAGAGUGAGGGGCGGAAGCCUCUUGCUUGCUUAAAAUGCGGGUAGAUGGACGUGGAACGGGUAAUAAGUGCGGCAACAACAACUACUCCCUUGUUCUAUUCACGCAACCUCAGAUCAAGCAAGACUACCCGCUGAACUUAA
RNAcentral lists this unclassified non-coding RNA (338 nucleotides) under uncultured fungus. RNAcentral describes it as "partial internal transcribed spacer 2". The record is from RNAcentral. Lineage: Eukaryota; Fungi.